AUAACUAUGGCAGAGAGCAGGAGGAUUGACAUGGCCCUGAGGCAAGACUAUGAAAGUGUACUCUUAGCCCUGACGAGUAGAAACAAACUGUUCCUGGUGGUCUUUACAAAUUGGUAUGGAGGAAAAGGCAUACAGCAGCUUCUGAUAGGAAUUUCCUCGCUGACCUUCCAGUCGCCACUAACAGUCUCUUCCAAACUUCUCCAUUCCUUCUAUCAGACUCAAAAACAAUGUCACAUGUUAUGGCAGGACCUCACUUUCAGCUCUAUGGGUUGACCAGGUGGUUAUGCUUCACAUGUUGUUGGCUUGGAAUUGGGACGUCCAGAAGAUUUUAAAUAGACUCACAUAUGGCUGGAAAUUGGUACUGGCUGCUGGCUGGGAGCUCAGCUAGAGUUGGCUAGGGGGCCUCAGUUCUCCUCCAGAGGGGCUUCACCACAUGGUAGCUUAUGUUUUUU
This 452-nucleotide long non-coding RNA is filed under the name Equus caballus (horse). RNAcentral describes it as "lncRNA (ENSECAG00000048202.1)". Lineage: Eukaryota; Metazoa; Chordata; Mammalia; Perissodactyla; Equidae. The record is from RNAcentral.